UUUCGUAGGUGAACCUGCGGAAGGAUCAUUAACGAACCGAACAAAAGCGCCCCCUCGGCUGAUGCUGGCCCCUCGGGGCACGUGCACGCCUGGGCGCGCCUCCCAUUCGCUUCGCCUUCCCCCCUUGUGCACUCCAUGUAGGUCGCCGACGGUGGUCCUCCACCUUGGGCCCCUACGAUUUUUCGUCUUUGUACGCACCCCGAUCGCAUGUGUUAGCGUAGCACUCUUGCGUUGAUAACGUAACGCGAAAUACAACUUUCAACAACGGAUCUCUUGGCUCUCGCAUCGAUGAAGGACGCAGCGAAAUGCGAUAAGUAAUGUGAAUUGCAGAAUUCAGUGAAUCAUCGAGUCUUUGAACGCACCUUGCGCUCUUUGGCCAUUCCAAAGAGCAUGCCUGUUUGAGUGUCAUUGAAUCCUCAAGGCCCCCCUCCUGCCCUUUGCGGCUUUGGGGGGUGGCCCUUGGACUUGGGAGCGCUGCGGGGCCUGGCACACUGGGCCCCGCUCUCCUCAAAUGCAUCAGUAGGGCCUUCUUCCCCCUCGGGGUCCUCGCGGCGUUGAUAGUCGUCUACGCCUCGCCCGUUGGGUUUUGCCCCGCUCCUCAACCCCCCCAACCGAACGCUCUUGACCUCAAAUCAGGUAGGACUACCCGCUGAACUUAAGCAUAUC
RNAcentral lists this ribosomal RNA (666 nucleotides) under Volvariella taylorii. RNAcentral describes it as "eukaryotic LSU rRNA". The stretch from base 254 to 408 matches the Rfam family "5.8S ribosomal RNA". The record is from RNAcentral. Lineage: Eukaryota; Fungi; Basidiomycota; Agaricomycetes; Agaricales; Pluteaceae.